AUGACCUGUAGGGGUCAGUGUGUUGGCUUUAAAAAGGAUCAACAAGGAGGGGGGUCAUUUUGGACUCACACUGCACACCAUGCUUUUAUGGAGUGAGGGGUUAUUAGUAUGGAAUAUUAAAUCCUUCAUAAAGGUGUGCUUGAAAAUACAGGUUUGUCGCUGUACAUGUCAUUUGUUUGAAAGUUUGUAUAUUCAGAAAAUGACAGGUACAAAUUAAAUGUACAAGUUACACAAGUAGGAUUACAGGUACAAAACUAUUUUCAAGCACACCUUUGAAUGAAUGAUUUAAUGUUUCAUAUAUUAGCACCAAAGCUGUACAGACAUGCUGGAGUGAGCAGGUCAAGUGGUGAUCACAUGCAGCAAUCCAACACCCCAAUAAAUAAUGUCUAAUUCCUA
Siniperca chuatsi (mandarin fish) is the source of this 396-nucleotide long non-coding RNA. RefSeq lists it as uncharacterized. Lineage: Eukaryota; Metazoa; Chordata; Actinopteri; Centrarchiformes; Sinipercidae. The record is from RefSeq and is a predicted model, not a curated record. The transcript has 2 exons.